This 465-nucleotide ribosomal RNA is filed under the name uncultured bacterium. RNAcentral describes it as "partial 16S ribosomal RNA". It matches the Rfam family "Bacterial small subunit ribosomal RNA", at positions 28 to 507 of the family's 1533-position model. The record is from RNAcentral.
GACGAACGCUGGCGGCGUGCUUAACACAUGCAAGUCGAACGGAAAGGCCCCCUUGUGGGGUACUUGAGUGGCGAACGGGGGAGUAACACGUGAGUAACCUACCCUUGACUUUGGGAUAACUUCAGGAAACUGGGGCUAAUACCGGAUAGGAGCUCCUGCUGCAUGGUGGGGGUUGGAAAGUUUCGGCGGCUGGGGAUGGACUCGCGGCUUAUCAGCUGGUUGGUGGGGUAGUGGCUCACCAAGGCCUUGACGGGUAGCCGGCCUGAGAGGGUGACCGGCCACAUUGGGACUGAGAUACGGCCCAGACUGCUACGGGAGGCAGCAGUGGGGAAUAUUGCACAAUGAGCGGAAGCCUGAUGCGGAGACGCCGCGUGCGGGAUGACGGCCUUCGGGUUGUAAACCGCUUUCGCCUGUGACGAAGCGGUAGUGACGGUAAUGGGUAAAGAAGCACCGGCUAACUACGUG